ACAAAGAAUCAGAUUACUAUCAAGACAUCCAAAGUCCAAACACAAUAAACAACAAUCUCUAGUUUCUCGAAGAAACAAACAAAUUGGAAAUGGGAGAAGUGCACAAAUUGAGUUAAACAACAAAGAUUUGGUACCCAUACUUGGUUUUGUUCUCUCUUUUGACCCUCUCUCGGAGGUCUGACGCACAAAUUCCCUUCGCUUGCUCCCCACUCACCGACCACUAUCCUCUCUAAAAACGACUAUUAUCUANUACUUAUCAUGAUCUUGCCUUCGUCUCUCGCUCCUUCCCAUUUCUGAAAGAAAAAUGAACCAUGACCAAUCGAAAGAGAAAUCAAUGAAAAGAGAAGGAAGAGACGAACCAGUGCGAGGAAGAAAGAAGAAAACGAACGUGCGAGGAAGAAAGGGAGAAAGGAAUGAAAACAAAGAAAUGAAGGAAGGGAUUUUAGGGUUCAGAGGNAUUUUUUAGAGGGAAAAAGGGUUUUGAUUGUUAGAGGGAAAAAGGGUUUAGUNUGAUUUUUAGAGGGAGAUGGGAUUUUGGAUUCAGNACAAUGAAAUUUUACAAUUUAGAAAAAAAAUUAGUUUAAAAUUUUUAAAGAGAAGAAAAGUAAAAAAAUUAGGAAAUAAAGGAAGAAAAUAUAUUAUUAUUUGAAGGGGUUAUAAACCUCCCUUGAACAUGAUUAAAACUCCCACUAUUUUGGACAGUUAGAUAAUUUAGAUUAAACAUUUUAUAAUAUGUUAAUUUGAGGGGGGUUUUUUAUAACCUCCGCUAGAUAACCUCUUCUAAAUAAGGUUUUUUUUGUAGUGUAAAACACUUAAGUUAAGUCUCUUAAGAGUCAAAAGUUGGUUUUAGAGAUAUUAUGCUUGUUUUGCAUUGUUUUCCAGGGUUUUUCGAUGAAUUAAAGAUGGAAGUAAAGUAAGGUUGACUUAGACCCAUAAAAGAAGGAGAAAAAUGAUGAAAAUAAGGGUCAAACAAGUUGUUGAGGACCAGAAUGGACCGCUGAGCGCUCAGAGCGAUUAGAGGCAAACCACUGAGCGGUCAAAUUAGGCGCCUGGGCGGUUGUCUGUUUUUUUAGCUAGAUUCUGUAAAUCUUUCUGUUAUUUAUCUGUUAUCUUUUUGGGCUUAUAUAUAGCCCCAGUGUGAAUUAGAUAGGGAUUCUUUUGGCAGAGAGAACGUCCAGAGCCAUUCCACACACCUUGGAGGAGAUUUAUUGGAUGCUUAGGCUCCUUCUUAUAAAAUCUAGGGUUUGCUUUUUACAUUCAUUCAUUAUUUUCAUCUAGUUUCACCAUGUCAAUGGUGAACUAAACCCUUUGUUGUUGGGGAACAAUGUAAUCUUUUGAAACUCUCAUAUAUUGAAAUUCUUAUUUAUUUUCAUAUGCUUGUCAUAUACUUGUUUAUCAAUUGUUGGGUUCUCAUCUAUGCUCAAAGCUUUUAUUGUUUAACUCAUUCAAUAANACAAUGAAAUUUUACAAUUUAGAAAAAAAAUUAGUUUAAAAUUUUUAAAGAGAAGAAAAGUAAAAAAAUUAGGAAAUAAAGGAAGAAAAUAUAUUAUUAUUUGAAGGGGUUAUAAACCUCCCUUGAACAUGAUUAAAACUCCCACUAUUUUGGACAGUUAGAUAAUUUAGAUUAAACAUUUUAUAAUAUGUUAAUUUGAGGGGG
This 1657-nucleotide long non-coding RNA is filed under the name Vigna radiata. RNAcentral describes it as "long non-coding RNA (VRAD_LNC011645)". Lineage: Eukaryota; Viridiplantae; Streptophyta; Magnoliopsida; Fabales; Fabaceae. The record is from RNAcentral.